CUGCGGGCGGCUCCAGUGAGGAAUAUUGCACAAUGGGGGGAACCCUGAUGCAGCAACGCCGCGUGGAGGAUGACGCAUUUCGGUGUGUAAACUCCUUUUAUAUGUCAAGAAAAUGACGGUAGCAUACGAAUAAGCACCGGCUAACUCCGUGCCAGCAGCCGCGGUAAUACGGAGGGUGUAAGCGUUACUCGGGAUCACUGGGCGUAAAGGACGCGUAGGCGGGUUGGAAAGUCAGGUGUGAAAUCCUACAGCUUAACUGUAGAACUGCACUUGAAACUUCUAAUCUAGAGUAUGGGAGGGGGAGAUGGAAUUAGUGGUGUAGGGGUAAAAUCCGUAGAUAUCACUAGGAAUACCUAAAGCGAAGGCGAUCUCCUGGAACAUUACUGACGCUAAGGCGUGAAAGCGUGGGGAGCAAACAGGAUUAGAUACCCUCGUAGUC
This 439-nucleotide ribosomal RNA is filed under the name uncultured bacterium. Its description in RNAcentral is "partial 16S ribosomal RNA". It matches the Rfam family "Bacterial small subunit ribosomal RNA", at positions 339 to 795 of the family's 1533-position model. The record is from RNAcentral.